CUGUCUUUUCCAAACACAACAAGCUCACCGCCACACACUGCCCUUCCUGUGACUUUGAAUCCAGAGACCACCAGGCCCAAAAGCCACCUGGAGGAUUUCUGUCUCUGUGGUGGUCAGAAGGGCUGAGAGCAGAACGCAGGCCAGAAGACGAUGUCAGAACCCCCUAGAACUGGAGUUACAGACAGGUAGGGAACCCACAACAGACCAAAGCAUGGAUGCUACCCAAGCCCAACAUGGUGAACCGAUGAACCUCCAAAGCACACCCCAGACACGGGUGACAUCUCACAGAAGCUGGGAACCUGAGCACAAGACACAGCUUCUGUGAGCUCAGCAGGUUGUUUCAGAAGUUUAGUCCAUUAUCAAGACGGCACGGAGCAUGAAGGCACACAGGCAGACGCGAUGCUGGAGAAGGACCCGAGAGCUCUGUAUCCGGAUCCAUGGACAGCAGGGGAGAUACUGCGACGAUGCCUGCUUCCCAUGUGCGGGGACAGAGGUGUAGAAAAGCAUUUGCCCAAUAUCAAGAUGACGAAGAAAAGGGAAAGGCCAACGUGGUCAACUCUGGGGCACUUCACCGACUAUUUCUACCAGCCUUAGCUGCAGAAACCUCGUCCCAAGAAGAGCUUUGAAUUAGCCAUAUCCGGUGAGUGACCUGAUUCUGUGUACCCAGAGGUCCACUCUGGACGAGAGAGCUUCCCCAGGGGGUGCUAGCCGCACCUAACUGUCAUAAAGGAUGCUGGCCCCAGAGCUCACAGCAUACCUCCGUUGCACCUCUGUGCCUGCCCCACAUCUGAGCUCAUGAACUCUCAUCAGUAUCGCCUCCAGUCUUUUGGGCCUGCUUGGAACCUUUACUUUCUUUGGCUGACCUCGAAACCCGUCCUGGCUGGGUCACAGCCAGGACAACAGCCUUGUUUCCACUGGAGAGCCUGGGUGCAUUCUAUGGCAGUGAUUUAACCAAAGAUUUCCCCCAGACCUGAUUUUACCCACUGCCCCUUGCUACCUCUGAAGGUCCAGGGGAAACACCCCACCUUGGCCUGAGGUGUGUGGCUAUUAACCUUUCCAGGAAAGUGACUGUGGCAACCGUGGUUAUAAAGGUGACCAGUUACAGAACCUAGCAGCCCUGCUUUCUGUCUGUGCAAGGGUGGAAGCCAGUGGCCCGAGCCAACCAGAUGAUCGCCUGAGCCGAGCAGGCGAGCCAGAGCUGAGCAGGCGAGCCAGAGCUAAUCAGAGGAGCACCUGACUUCCAGCUUUAUAUUACCAUUUUUUCCUUUUAAUUUCUUCUUCUCACAUAUAUUACAUCCUGACCACAGUUUUCCCUCCAUCCCCUCCCCCCAGUCUCUUCUCCUUCCACCUCUGCUCAGAAAAGAGCACACCACUCCGGAACACCACCCAAACGUGGCACAACAAGCUACAGUAAGACCAGGCACAUAUUCUCACAGCAAGGCUGGGCAAGGCCACCCAGUAGGAGGAAAUGAGCCCCAAAGGCAGGCAGAAGAGCCAGAGAGAGCCCCUGUUCCCACUCUUAGGAGAAGACCUAGCUCAGACCCCUGCAGGCUCCCUCAUCUCUGAGUCCCUCAUCUCCCCAUGAGUCCUGGUCAGUUGAUUCUGUGAGCCGUGUUUGUGUGGUGUCCUUGACCCCUGAGGCUACUCCAACCCUUCUUCCCCCUCUUCUGUAGGACCCCCGAGCCCCGUCUAACAUUUGGCUGUGGGACAGGGCACCUGCUUCCAUCAGUUGCUGGAUGAAGUCUCUCUGGUCUCUUUGAGGACAAUGACGCCAGAUUUAAUAACGGGAUGCUACACUCUACAUUUAAUGAAGCAUAUUCAUUAUUGGCCAUCUCUGCACCUGGGUCACCAGUCCAUCAAUAUCUUCAUUCACAGUUUCCUGUCAAAACUGCUUUUUUUUUUUUUUCCUUUGCAGGCAUCAGCUCCACCCCAAGGUGGCAUCUAGGCACUCCAAACAUUCACGAACCUACAUCUUAGUAGCUGUGAGUUUAUUUAUUCUUUUUGUUUGCUUGUUUUGUUUCUCUUGAGACAGGCUCUCUCUAUUGUGUAGCUCUGGCUGUCCUGGAACUCACUAUGUUAAUUAAACUGGCCUCAUAGAAAUCCACCUAUGUCUAUGCUAUUCUUUUUUUUUUAAAGAUUUAUUUAUUUAUUAUAUAUAAAUACACCGUAGCUGUCUUCAGACAAAGUGCUGGGAUUAAAGGGGUGUGUCACCAUGCCUG
Molecule: long non-coding RNA, 2219 nt
Filed under: Mus pahari (shrew mouse)
Lineage: Eukaryota; Metazoa; Chordata; Mammalia; Rodentia; Muridae
Description: lncRNA (MGP_PahariEiJ_G0005502.1)
Source: RNAcentral